AUGGUAGUUGAAGGGGGCACUGGGACGUCAAAGGGCAAGGAAGUUGACGAGGCUACCUAUGGAGACUUUGCUCAUUGGGCCUCCACUGAUGAAGGUAAUCCGACAAAGGCAUCUCUUACUCCUAAUGAGAAUGCUUCAGAGUGCGUCCUAGACUCUGGAGCAUCUAAGCAUGUUGCGGGUAAUUCCUAUGUGUUUGAGUCUUACAAUAAGCAUCCUCCUACUCACAAGGGCACUAUACAAACUGCCGAUGGUACAAAUCAGCCUGUCGUAGGGGUUGGCACAGUCAAGUGCACUUCAAACAUCUCGUUAUCGUCAGUUUUACAUGUGCCAGCUUUUCUUGUCAAUUUGGUCUCUUUCAGUGCUCUCAUUGAUGAAGUAGACUGUCGUGUGAUCCUUGACAAGUUCGGAUGCUUGAUUCAGGUGCGACAGACGAGCCAGACGGUUGGGACUGGCACCAGGCGUAGGGGGCUUUGGUACAUGGACCAGGAGGUGCAGGAGGUGCAGCCGGACUUGGUGUGUGCUGUGACCACAGAGGACAAGGAGAAGCAGGCGAUGAUCCAUCAAUGUAGGAUGGGGCAUGUAUCUUUUGAUAAGAUGAGUAGAAUAUUUCCGGAUCUUAUGUGUGGAAUAGGCAAGGGCAAGUUGACAUGUGAUGCUUGC
RNAcentral lists this ribosomal RNA (660 nucleotides) under Triticum aestivum (bread wheat). RNAcentral describes it as "partial small subunit ribosomal RNA". The record is from RNAcentral. Lineage: Eukaryota; Viridiplantae; Streptophyta; Magnoliopsida; Poales; Poaceae.